Molecule: ribosomal RNA, 332 nt
Filed under: uncultured Gemmatimonas sp.
Lineage: Bacteria; Pseudomonadati; Gemmatimonadota; Gemmatimonadia; Gemmatimonadales; Gemmatimonadaceae
Description: bacterial SSU rRNA
Rfam family: Bacterial small subunit ribosomal RNA
Source: RNAcentral
CGCGUAGGCGGUCUGUUAAGCGUGUGGUGAAAGCUCGGGGCUCAACCCCGAGUCUGCCAUGCGAACUGGUGGACUUGAGCACUGUAGAGGCAGGUGGAAUUCCGGGUGUAGCGGUGGAAUGCGUAGAGAUCCGGAAGAACACCGGUGGCGAAGGCGGCCUGCUGGGCAGUUGCUGACGCUGAGGCGCGACAGCGUGGGGAGCAAACAGGAUUAGAUACCCUGGUAGUCCACGCCGUAAACGAUGGGCACUAGGUGCUUGGGGGAGCGACCCCCCGAGUGCCGGCGCUAACGCAUUAAGUGCCCCGCCUGGGGAGUACGACCGCAAGGUUGAA